This 75-nucleotide transfer RNA is filed under the name Caldifarciminota bacterium. RNAcentral's name for it is "tRNA-Asp". It matches the Rfam family "tRNA". From Rfam's summary of the family: Transfer RNA (tRNA) molecules are approximately 80 nucleotides in length. Their secondary structure includes four short double-helical elements and three loops (D, anti-codon, and T loops). Further hydrogen bonds mediate the characteristic L-shaped molecular structure. tRNAs have two regions of fundamental functional importance: the anti-codon, which is responsible for specific mRNA codon recognition, and the 3' end, to which the tRNAs corresponding amino acid is attached (by aminoacyl-tRNA synthetases). tRNAs cope with the degeneracy of the genetic code in two manners: having more than one tRNA (with a specific anti-codon) for a particular amino acid; and 'wobble' base-pairing, i.e. permitting non-standard base-pairing at the 3rd anti-codon position. The record is from RNAcentral. Lineage: Bacteria; Pseudomonadati; Caldifarciminota.
GGAGCCGUAGUUCAGCUUGGUUAGAACGCUAGCCUGUCACGCUAGAGGUCGCGAGUUCAACUCUCGUCGGCUCCG